Molecule: ribosomal RNA, 2315 nt
Filed under: Dynamenopsis varicolor
Lineage: Eukaryota; Metazoa; Arthropoda; Malacostraca; Isopoda; Sphaeromatidae
Description: SSU rRNA
Rfam family: Eukaryotic small subunit ribosomal RNA
Source: RNAcentral
AAAGAUUAAGCCAUGCAUGUGUAAGUACACACCUUCCUUAUGGCGAAACCGCAAACGGCUCAUUAAAUCAGUCAUAAUUUAUUGGAUGGUGUUUAUCCUAUACUCGGAUAACCGUGGCAAUUCUAGAGCUAAUACGUGCAACUGAGCUCCGACCACGGCGUGCCCGUUAAAGGCGCGUCGGGGGAAGGGCGCAUUUAUUGGAAUCAUAAACCGAGCGGUCUCUCGAGUCCGUCCCAAAAAUCGGUUAUGAUGACUCUGGAUAACUUUGCCGAGCGAUUAGGCCUUCGAGCCGUCGCUGCAUCUUUCGAGUGACUGCCUUAUCAGCUUUCGAUUGUAGGCUAUACGCUUACGAUGGCUGUAACGGGUAACGGGGAAUCAGGGUUCGAUUCCGGAGAGGGAGCCUGAGAAACGGCUACCACAUCUAAGGAAGGCAGCAGGCACGCAAAUUACCCACUCCCGGCUCGGGGAGGUAGUGACGAUAAAUAACGAUGCGGGACUCUUCCGAGGCCUCGCAAUCGGAAUGAGUUUACUCUAAAACCUUGGACGAGGAUCCAUUGGAGGGCAAGUCUGGUGCCAGCAGCCGCGGUAAUUCCAGCUCCAAUAGCGUAUAUUAAAGUUGCUGCGGUUAAAAAGCUCGUAGUUGGAUUUUCGGUCUGUACCGGCGGCCCACCCAAGGCGCGCCCCCCGAAGACUUCCACUCGGUUAGGAGGGGGUGUGUGACGUUCGGCCAAGUUCUUAUCGCUCGGUCGCUCUCGGUGCGGCGGCGGGACUCGUUCCCCCCCCCUCAUCCGCGCGCGAGUCGUCGGUAUCCUUCGUUCGCUUCGUUACCCCCUCCGCCGAGGUUGUCUAGUUGGGUCUCCGCGCCCGGUGGUCAAACCGUCCGGCUACGGAUUUGUUAAAAUCCGCCGGCUCUCACGGGGUGCUCUUUACCGAGUGUCUCGCGUGGCCGACGACGUUCACUUUGAAAAAAUUAGAGUGCUCAAAGCAGGCAAAAAUCUUCGCCUGAAUUAUGAUGCAUGGAAUGAUGGAACAGGACCUCGGUUCUGCAUCUUUUCUCUCGGUUUUUCCCGAACCCGAGGUAAUGAUUAACGGGAACGGACGGGGGCAUUAGUAUUGCGACGCUAGAGGUGAAAUUCUUGGACCGUCGCAAGACUAACUACUGCGAAAGCAUUUGCCAAGAACGCUUUCAUUAAUCAAGAACGAAAGUUAGAGGAUCGAAGGCGAUCAGAUACCGCCCUAGUUCUAACCUUAAACGAUGCUGACUAGCGAUCCGCUUAAGUCAUUCCCACGACUGAGCGGGCAGCCCCCGGGAAACCGAAGUUUUUGAGUUCCGGGGGAAGUAUGGUUGCAAAGCUGAAACUUAAAGGAAUUGACGGAAGGGCACCACCAGGAGUGGAGCCUGCGGCUUAAUUUGACUCAACACGGGAAACCUCACCAGGCCCAGACACCGGAAGGAUUGACAGAUUGAGAGCUCUUUCUCGAUUCGGUGGUUGGUGGUGCAUGGCCGUUCUUAGUUGGUGGAGCGAUCUGUCUGGUUGAUUCCGAUAACGAACGAGACUCUACCCUACUAACUAGUCGGUGGAUCGUUUCCCGAGACGGGUUCCCUUCCGGGGGGUUUCGGCGCGAGGUUAAGCGCGCGGUCCGCUCACGCUUCCCGCGUUUCCGCUUCAGCGUGCCUGCGUUGGUCGCCGGCUGUCUUUUCGCCUUUCGGGGCGUUGGGGCUCGGUUUGGCUAACGUCGGGUGGGCGGCGGCGGUGCGAGGGUUCGCGAUGUCCGUCGCUCCUCGCGUUCGCUGUAUUCCUCCCGCGGAGGGCCCAACGAGGGGCGUCCAUCGUAACGUCUUCUUAGAGGGAUCGGCGGCAUUUAGCCGCACGAGAGAGAGCAAUAACAGGUCUGUGAUGCCCUUAGAUGUUCUGGGCCGCACGCGCGCUACAAUGCAGGGAGCAGCGUGCUUUCCCACUCCGAAAGGAGCGGGUAACCCGGUGAAACCCCUUCCCGAUUGGGAUUGGGGCUUGCAAGUGUUUCCCAUGAACGAGGAAUUCCCAGUAAGCGUAAGUCAUCAGCUUGCGAUGAUUACGUCCCUGCCCUUUGUACACACCGCCCGUCGCUACUACCGAUUGAAUGAUUCAGUGAGGGCGUCGGACCAGCGCCCUCGGCAGCUCUCGGAUCGAUCGUUCCGUUCAAAGGUUCUUCCGCUCUCCGCUCCGCCUCCGCCUCUCUCCCUUCCGGGACCGAGCCGCGAGCGAGGGUGCGAGGUGGAUAGGGUCUGGAACCGACCGAAUGGGCGCCCCGGGCCCGCCGGAAAGACGUCCGAA